Molecule: ribosomal RNA, 303 nt
Filed under: uncultured Paracoccaceae bacterium
Lineage: Bacteria; Pseudomonadati; Pseudomonadota; Alphaproteobacteria; Rhodobacterales; Paracoccaceae
Description: bacterial SSU rRNA
Rfam family: Bacterial small subunit ribosomal RNA
Source: RNAcentral
UAGUGAGUUUGAUCCUGGCUCAGAACGAACGCUGGCGGCAGGCCUAACACAUGCAAGUCGAGCGAGGUAGCAAUACCUAGCGGCGGACGGGUGAGUAACGCGUGGGAACGUACCCUUUGCUACGGAAUAGCCCCGGGAAACUGGGAGUAAUACCGUAUGUGCCCUUCGGGGGAAAGAUUUAUCGGCAAAGGAUCGGCCCGCGUUGGAUUAGGUAGUUGGUGGGUAAUGGCCUACCAAGCCGACGAUCCAUAGCUGGUCUGAGAGGAUGAUCAGCCACACUGGAACUGAGACACGGUCCAGACU